CGAUUAUGUGCGGAGGAUAAUUCGUAUGGGGAUUAUACGGCGACGGUAAAAAUAGUAAAUUUUAGCUAGUAAACGGUAAUUUUUAUUCGGGUAUUAUUUUUUCGGGGUGUUGAAUUUUGGAAUUAUGGGUUAAAAGGGGUGUUGGGUCGGCUGGGCCGAGCCCAACCCAUUUCUUCUUCUUUCUCUUCUCCCUCCCUCCCGAUUUUUCUCUCUUCUCACCCGGUUUUCCCCUCUCUACACCCAGCAGAAUUCCGGCCGUCCUCCCGCCGCCGUCCGACCUCCGUUCGCCGCCGGACCGGUCCCGUUCGGUCGGUCUCCCUCCCAGCAUCAUUUCUAGACCGGUGAGAGGAGCCCUAGCGCCGCCGUGAGAGAGCGGUGCCGCCCGAAAGCAAGGGCUGCCCCGAGCUUCCCUUCGCCGGAACUUCCUCCUCCGGCCACCAAUCCGGGCAAGCUUGGUAUGGUUUUGUAGCCCUCCAACCCAGCAACCUUGCCCUAAAAGGACUCACUCCCUCUUGAGCUAGGUAAGGAGAAAUUUGAGGUGGAAGUUUUAUGGUGUUUUUGAUGUUUUUAGUCGAUUUCCCUAGUUAGGCUUGGAAUUGGUGUUUGUGCAAGUUAUGAAAGUUGUAGAGCUUGAUAAGAGGAAGAUGCUGUUAAAAUUUCAUAGGUUUUGGAGGUCGCCGGAAUUGACCUCCGGCCGCCGCCGGUUGGGAGAUUUUAAUGUUGUUAAAUUUGGAAUAUUAAGGGGAGUUUAUUGAAGUGAGUUAUGGAAUUUUUGGAUGAGUUUUGGAUAGGUUUAUGAAUUUCCGAAGUGUGGUAUUUUUGGCGGGUAAUUAAUGUAGAAUCCGGCCGUUGGAUUUAAGUCGUAUUUUGGAGAGGUUGUAUUUACGACUGUGGAGUAUGAUAUUUAAGUUCGGAUCGUCCGAUGUAAGAAUAUCGAAGUUAGGCAAUAAUGAGCGUAAUUAUGGCUCUCGGGUAAUUUUNNNNNNNNNNNNNNNNNNNNAAUAUUGGAUAUUGGUUGGGAAAUUAAUAAUUAUAUUUGGAACAGGACGUGAAGAGGCUCGAGCAGACGAGACCCAGAUUGACAUCAGGCUUAGGCCUAAUUCGUGAGUGGUACGUUUAUUUUAAAUAAAUGCAUGCUAUAGUUCAUGGUUGAACAAUUAAUAUUGCGGAAUAUUUUAACGUCAUUUUAAUUUGACGAUUUUUAUUUUCUCUUGGAGAGCUACCGAAAAUGGGAUUUUCGGUGAAUAUAAAUAUGUAUUUAUGAGAGAGUAUGUAUAUAAAUGCUAGCUAGCCAUAUGUGUCUGUCCACCUUAAUGGCGUAGCAUAUAGCCGCAUUAUGGUGUGACGUGAGCGUUGGACGUAAGCGUAGUAGCCCUAUAUGAGUUGUUUAAUUCAUAUAGGGGGGUAUGGACACAUAUUUAUACACCCGUCUGUCCACCUUGAUAGCGUAGUGUAGCACCGCAUUAAGGCGUGACGUGAGCGUUGGACGCGAGCGUAGUAGCCCUAUAUAGACCCAUGAAUUUAUAUAGGGAGUAUGGACGAGUAGUAAAUACAUACAUAUAUUAUAGAAUCUGAGAGGCUCGAUAUUUAUGGGAUAAAGGUUUUAUCGCUUGCGGCAUGCACUCGAUUUUCCUUAGAAUUAAUUGGGGAAACAUAAAUAUUUUAUUUAUUAAUUUAUUUUUUGUCCACUCACUCUAACGUUAUUAAAUGUUUUCCCCUGGGCCCUUCGUUUUAAAUUGCCCAGUCUGCAGAGUUCGGGUUGGAUCUAGUAGGAGACGAGGCAUAGUCACCCGCUUUUCGGCCAGUUUUCGCCAGUAGGUUGCCUGUUCAACCUACUCGUAUUUUCUUGCUUCCGCUUGUGUUUAGUAGCUCUGAAUACUUUAGAAUUUUUGUAUAUUAUGCGAUGUUCAGAAGUGUAAUAUGAAAUUUUCGAGUUAGGGUUGUCCAUCUACAAGGGAGAUUUUCUUAAUCUUUUCAGUAAAUUUUCCUUGGAGGUGGUCCCCGCACGACUUACUCUGGGUUUCAGGGUGAAACUCGGGGUGGGUCGUGUCAAGGAGGGCUACAAAACGAGCCAAGGAUCGCCGGUUUUAGUGGCCGGAGGAGGGAGCUCCGGCGAGUGAAUCACCACGGCUUCUUGCCGUGAUAACUUGAAAUUUCCGACGGGAGAGGGGCUGUCACCAACUCAGGGCUGGAGAGGGAAGGACAGGGGUCCAAACGAGACCGGUCCGGCGUCCUGGCUCGGCCGGUCGACGGCGGCAAGAGCUGGAGAAAAACCGGACACUGGAGAGGUCGGGAGAGGCUGGGAGGAGAGAAGAAAAAGAGAAGAGGAAGAGAAGAAAAAAGAGAAGGGAAGAAUGGCUUUGGGCCUCACACCCCCAAACCGGGCCAACAACCUUAUACACCAAAACCCAACUCUAAAAUUUACACCCCAAAAUAAAAUACCCUAUUAAAAAUUACCUUUUAUUAGCUAAAAUUUACCAUUUUCACCGUCGUUAUAUUUUCUCCUACGAAUCACUCUCUGAAAUAAUCGUCCCCCAAAAUCCCACUAGGGACCAAUUAAACUAUAACUUCAUUGACGGAGACGGUAAAAUUCUUAUUAUAAUCAAGCUAGUAAAUAAGGUAAAAAUUUAAGGGUCCGGAUGUGACACGUACUCCUCGAAAACAGACUAGGGUGAAUUGCCAAGCUAGAUUUCGGAUCAAUUACACUGAUGGGUGUAGAGUUUAUAUGGUGAAGAUAUUCGUUCCAGAGCAUAAUCAUGAACUAGCUACUGGGAACCAGAUUGCAUUCGUUUAUGCUCAUCGUCAUGUCAGCGACGCAGCUUUGGCUCUGACAAACACAAUGACAAGGGUUUCAAUUAGACCAUGUCACACAUAUGAGUAUAUGGUGGAGCAGGCUGGGGGAUAUUCGGUAGUGGGAUUCACCAUGAAGGACCUCUACAACAAGCUUGACCAACAACGACGGACCUCCCUAUUUGAGAGUGAUUCCAAAGGAGCGCUUUCCUACAUGAGAGCACUGGCAGCAAAAGACCCACACUUCAUAUGCAGAUUCACUACAGAUUUGGAAGACAGGUUAGUGGACAUUUUUUGGCGAGAUGGCAUUCAUUUGUUGAUUAUCAGUGUUAUGGGGAUGUGCUGAUAUUCGAUAGCACAUACAAAACCAACAAGCCAUUGGUUAUGUUUGUUGGGUCGAACAACCAUCGAGGUAGUAUUAUUUUCGGUGCUGCCCUUAUUUCGGAUGAGACUGAGGAGACAUACACUUGGUUGCUUCGUACAUUUUUGGAGUCGAUGAACGGGAAGAUGGCAAAGGCGGUACUCACAGACAGUGACGAGGCCAUGCGUAAGGCAAUUGAAACUGUGAUGCCGGAAGCAAGGCACCGUCUAUGUAUUUGGCACAUAGGUAAAAAUGCCUUUACCCACUUAAAGUCUGAGGAAAAGUUGAAGGCUUUUAACAGAUGCGUGAGGAAGAAUCAAACAGUUGAGCAAUUUGAAAGGUUGUGGCAGGAAAUGAUUGACGAACUUGAUCUCCAUGACGAUAUUUGGAUCAGGAAUAUGUAUGAAAAGAGAGACAAGUUUUGUCAAGCAUUCAUCGGUGACAUAUUUAUGGCCGGAAUGAGAAGCACACAAAUGUGUGAGGGCAUGAAUAAAGAAUUCAAGAGGGUGCUUAGUAAAGGGAAAUCCCUUGUGGAGCUUGUUGCGUUGGUGUACAGAUUACUUAUGAAACUGAGACACAAUCAAGAAAGGGAUGAAUUCAUCUAUAUGAAUUCCUUUCCUGGUGCCGUAACUCACUUGGUAGAUUUGGAGAUACAAGCCUCUUCUAUAUUCACACACGAUGUGUUUAAAUGGAUUGUAAGAGAGAUCAAGAAAAAGAGCUUUAAUACACUAAAGCAAGGAGCAGAAUGUCAUGAAGAUGGUAGUCGUGUUUACAAGCUAUCAGUAUACAAACGGCCUGAAUUUGACCACACUGUUGUUCUUGGUGCCGUAACUCACUUGGUAGAUUUGGAGAUACAAGCCUCUUCUAUAUUCACACACGAUGUGUUUAAGUGGAUUGUAAGAGAAAUCAAGAAAGAGAGCUUUAUUACACUAAAGCAAGGAGCAGAAUGUCAUGAAGAUGGUAGUCGUGUUUACAAGGUAUCAGUACACAAACGGCCUGAAUUUGACCACACUAUUGUUUACCACCCUGAGAAAGAGACUGACAGUGCAAAAGACUCGAUUAUGCUGUGUUCUUGCAGAAUUAAUGUUUCAGUACGGGGGAGUACCAUGUCGUCACAUGUUCACGGUGAUGAAAAAGAACACAUUUUUGAGCUUCACAAGUCACUGAUCGUCAAGAGAUGGUCAAAAGACGCAAGAACUGUGUGUGAGAUCCCUUAUCCAGAUCAAUCUAUGCCUAGAGAAGCAUUGGAAGUGAGCAAGUAUGGUGCUCUAACUGCCGAAUGCAAUCGAUUGUGCUUUUAUGCUUCAAAGACAGAUGCAGGGUACAACUUGUUGCAGAAGGAGAUCAGUUGUCACAUCCCGACCCUUAUAUUUUUACCUUAUUUACUAGCGUGAUUAUAAUAAGAAUUUUUACCGUCUCGAUCUUUGAGUUAAUAGUUUAAUUGGUCCCUAGAGGGGUUUCGGGGACGAUUAUGUGCGGAGGAUUAUUCGUAUGAGGAAAAUAUGACGACGGUAAAAAUAGUAAAUUUAGCUAGUAAAAGGUAAUUUUUAUUCGGGUAUUAUUUUUUGGGGUGUUUUAUUUGUAGGAGUUGGGUAUUUUAGUAUUGUUGGACCGGGUGUAGAGGCCCAUUUCUCUUUUCUCUUUUUCUCCUCUUUUCUCCUCCCGGUUCUCUCUCCCCCGAGCUUUCCCGCCGUCCGGAAUUCCGACCGCCAGACCGCCGCCGUCCGGCCGCCCCAGACCCAAUCGAUCGGUCUCUGACCCAGCUAUCUUCUAGGACCGGUAGCAGCCCCCCUAGCGCCGCCGUGAGAGAGCGGUGCCGCCCGAAAGGAUAGGCUGCCCCGAACUUCCGGUCGCCAGAACUCCCUCCUCCGGCCACCAAUCUGGGCAAGCUUGGUACGGUUUUGUAGCCCUCCUCCCGUGCAGCAACCCCUCCAAGCAGCUCCCUCCCUCUUGAGCUAGGUAAGGAGAAAUGUGGAGUUGAAAUUUCUAGGGCUUUUAAGUCGUUUUCGUUCGAUUAGCCUAGUUAGGCUUGGAAUUGGGUGAUGUGUUGGUCAUGAAAGUUGUACAGGAGAUUGAGAGGAAGAUUCUGUUAAAAUUUGGUAGCAUUUGCAGGUCGUCGGAGUUGGUCGCCGGCCGCCGCUGCCGGCGGAGCCGCCGGCGGCGCCGCCGCUGUUUUGGGAAAUUUUGUGGUUUUUGAUGUAGAAUAUUAAGAGGAUAUUAUUGAGGUGAAUUUUGGAAUUUUUGGAUGAGAUUUGGAUAGGUUUGUGAAUUUCCGAAGUUUGGUAUUUUUGGCGGUUAAUUAAUGUAGAAUCCGGCCGUAGGAUUUAAGUCGUAUUUUGAGGAGGUGGUAUUUACGACUGUUGAGUAUGAUAUUUAAGUUCGGAUCGUUCCGAUUUAAGAUUAUCGAAGUUAGGCAAUGAUGAGCGUAUUUAUGGCUCUCGGGUAAUUUUUCCUAUUUUAAUUAAAUAUUGGAUUAUUGGUUGGGAAAUUAAUAUUAUAUUUAGAACAGGACGUGAGGAGGCUCGAGCAGACGAGGCCCCAGAUCGACAUCAGGCUUAGGCCUAAUUUGUGAGUGGACUUUUAUUUGAAAUAAUUUGCAUGCUAUGGUUCAUGAUUGAACAUUUCUUUUUGUUGGAGUAUUGACGUCAAUUAAUUUUGACGCUUUUAUUUCUCUUAGAGAGUUACCGAAAAUGGGAUUUUCGGUGAAUAUAAAUAUGUAUUUAUGAGAGAGUAUGUAUACAAAAUGCUAGCUAGCCAUAUGUGUCUGUCCACCUUAAUGGUGUAGCAUAUAGCCGCAUUAUGGUGUGACGUGAGCGUUGGACGUAAGCGUAGUAGCCCUAUUUGAGUGUUUAAUUCAGAUAGGGGGUAUGGACACAUAUUUAUACACCCGUCUGUCCACCUUGAUGGCGUAGUGUAGCACCGCAUUAAGGCGUGACGUGAGCGUUGGACGCGAGCGUAGUAGCCCUAUAUAGACCCAUGAAUUUAUAUAGGGAGUAUGGACGAGUGUAAAUACAUACAUAUAUUAUAGAGUCUGAGAGGCUCGAUAUUUUAUGGGAUAAAAGUUUUAUCGCUUGCGGCAUGCAUUCGAUUUUUCCUUAGAAAUUAAUUUGGGGAAACAUAAAUAUUUUAUUUAUUAUUUUAUUUUUUGUGCACUCACUCUAACGUUAUUAAAUGUUUUCCUCUGGGCCCUUCGUUUUAAAUUGCCCAGUCUGCAGAGUUCGGGUUGGAUCUAGUAGGAGACGAGGCAUAGUCACCCGCAUUUCUGCCAGUUUUCGCCAGUAGGUUACCUGUUCAACCUACUCGUGUUUUCUUGCUUCCGCUUGUGUUUAGUAGCUCUGAAUACUUUAGGAUUAUUGUAUAUUAUGGGUAGAAUUUCUGAAGGAUAAUUAUGUGAUGUUCGGAAGUGUUGAAUUAAGAGUGUAAUAUGAAAUUUUCGAGUUAGGGUUGUCCAUCUGCAAGGGAGAUUUUCUUAAUCUUUUCAGUAAAUUUUCCUUGGAGGUGGUCCCCGCACGACUUACUCUGGGUUUCAGGGUGAAAUUCGGGGUGGGUCGUGUCAUCAGUAGACUCUCAUCAAUUGUUGAAGGUUUUGCCAAAGAAAAAGAAAAAGUUCAAGCUCCGGCCACACCCAGCAAUAUGAAAGGUAAUGUUGUGAGAGACCCUAUCCCGGUUAGGACCAAAGGCAGAGAAAAAAUGACAAGAAGACUGAGGCUCCCAGACAACCGAUUACUUGUGGUUAUUGCCAAGGUAUUGGACACAACAGUCAAACAUGUAAUGUUAGGAAGGAGAAAGAAAAAGCUGAGAAGAGCAAUGAAAAUGAUGAACGAAACACUGACCCUCGUCCUUCAGUUGCAACACCUGGAAAGAGAUCCUAUGGUUAUUGCAAACGAUCUGGACACAAUACUCAAACAUGUGAUGUUAGGAAAGAGAAAGAAAAAGCUGAGAAGACAAACGAAAAUGUUGCGGGAACAAGCAAUGAUCCUCUUCCUUCGGUUGCGACACCUGCAAAGAAAACUAUUCACUGUAGUACGUGCAAAGGAGCCGAGCACACACACUGUAGAUGCCUAAAAAAAACAAUAAAAGGAGACGCCUCCCCCACAUCUGAGGAGUGAUUCCUUAUUCUGGUGAUAUAGGUGCCGAUUUUAGUUAUAGUUGUAGUUCAAAUUUCUUGUACUCUGUGUUUGGCAUUUCAUUUUACUUUUCAGUAAUGUCAACGUGAAUUUAGAUUUUACUUUAGAUUUCCUUGUUUUGUUUUUGCUUUGUGAAUGGUCUAUCUCGCCGUAGGACACUUUUUCAAAAAGUCUACAUGAAGUAAAAAAACUUUCCUAAGAGAAGUAGAUGAUUAUGUAAUAACUAUAGAGCUAAUAAGGUAAUACUACGGAGAACACAUCUCCAGAAAGUCUACAUUGUAUCAUGCUUUUAUCAUAAACGAAGAGUAGAACGUCUUUGCAGAAAAAGUAGCCCAUUCAAUACUGUCGAACAAUUAUCAUCCACUAUUGGUAAGGUUUACGAUGAUGGAGCACUAGUAACCUUGCAUAAAUAUAGGCUGUAAACUGAAAUAUAUUGAUGUAAGUAGAUGGUAAUGAUGCACAUAAUUAUUACAAUGGACAUAAUUAAUGAUUAUUAUAAAUACAUGGAUUAUUUUAUGUUAAUAAAAACACACGGAAUUUAAUGCAAAAUUCAUUCCAGUAGACCAAUAAGGAAAUUAUUCCUAUUUGGGAUUAGGGUUUGUGAUGAUGGAUAAAGCACUAGUAACCUUGCAUUUAUAUAGGGUUAUUUUAUGAUGAUCGAGCUCUCUAGUCACCUGUAGUGUACAAUGGGUGUAGGGUUUAUGAUGAUGAAGCCUCACUAUUCUUAUAUACCUGAUGGACCAUAUAGAUGUCAUUUUAGCUUUUUAGUGUCGAGAAGCACAUUGUAAGUAAUCUCCUACUUGUUAUGGGAUUUCCACCCCAUGAUUUAUUUUAUGUUCACUAAGAUGGACCCCCAUAUCAAAUUCAUUUUAUAUGUUCACUACGCUUAUAUAUGCCGCAAUAUCAUAUAUGUUCAGAGAGAGAGAGAGAGAGAGAGAGAGAGAGAGAGAGAGAGAGAGAGAGAGAGAGAGAGAGAGAGAGAGACGACGACGACGACGACGUACGUACGUACGUACGUACNNNNNNNNNNNNNNNNNNNNGAGAGAGAGAGAGAGAUGGCAGAGCACGACCUAACCCCGCAUUGUAUCAAUAUGCCAAAUUUCAGUUUGAGUGCGGUAACUAAUCUGGUGCUGUUGAUUAUCUGUUUCAGUACAGGGCUUUAUGCACCAACAGCGAGAGGAGUCUCAGUGCUUUGUGGGGAAAGCUGGCAGCUGAGAUAUUGAUGCAAAACUGGGAUAUUGCUCUUGAGGAGCUUAACCGCCUCAAGGAAAUUAUUGAUUCCAAGAAUUUCAGUUCGCCCCUGAUUCAGGAGUUUUUGACAUGUGUUUAUGUUAAUUAUGGCAUGUGUUUAUGUGAUAUUGAAUGAUCCCUUCCUUGGAAAGCGAGUUGAAGAAGGCAAUUUCACUAUUGUACCAUUGAGGGAUGAAUUCCUUGAAAAUGCUCGUCUAUUUAUCCCUUAUCUUUGAGUCUUACUGCCGCAUACAUCAGCGCAUUUCCUUCAUCUAGACUGAGAUUUGAAUUACUAGAGGUUUUGUUGACUUGUAAGUAGAGGUUUUCAUUAGUAACAUGAGGUUUGUCAGAUCAGACUGUAAUUUACUUCCCCAUGAUUUAUUUGUCUGUACUUUUGGAGGUAAUGUGUAUGGAAAUUAUUUUCUUAAAAAAAAAUGCUUCAUUUUAGGGCUUGAGUUUAAUGUAUAUAGUGUUUAUGAUCGAUGAUGGAGCUAAUGUCAUCUAUCCCGUAUAUAGGGUUUUAGGUUUAUAAUCUUGGUAUAAUCUUCUAGGUAGUGUGACCUUUAAAGUAUGAUCGAACAUGCUUAUAUAUAGUAAACUCCUACUUGUAUCGGGAUUUCCACUUCGAUCACAAUUAUAUCUUCAUUAUGCUUAUAUAUGUUGUGAUCGAUGGACAAUAUAACAUUCAUUUACUAGUACAAUGCUUGACUUUAGUUCUUGAGUUUCAUUGUAUAUAGUGCUUAUGAUGAUCGAACUAACGUCACCUAUCGUGUAUAUAGCAUUUGAUGUUUAUAAUGUUAGAGCUAACAUCACCUUAAAGUAUGUACGGUUUCAGAUGUCGUUUAUAAUGUUUAAGGUUUACUCUCUAUAUAGUAUCUGGAACACUUUGGACAUAUCCGCUCAAGGUUCUAAAAAACGUUGGGCACUAGUCGGGCGGACAGCGCCCAAAAGAUUAAUCGGGGAUUAAUCGGUUUUCUAUUUUUGUAUUUAUUUUAAUUUUUUAAUACCAAAUAAUUAUCUAAUACAAUUAAAAUUACAAUUGACAUGUAAUUAUAUAAUUAUUAAUACAAUUAUUUUGGUUGAAAAGUCAAUUUACAUGUCUCAUUAAAUUUGAGUGUAGUUAUUUAGAUUAAAUCUGAUAAGUAAUUAAAUAUACAUUUGGGUAGUAUUGAUUAAAUUAAGAAAAAGACAAAAAUUAUUGGAUGUAUAGGCCCAAAGGGAGAGCCCAACAAUUUAACCCAUUGCUAAGUCAAUUUUCCCUACACAUCUUUAUCCCUUCCGCCUCCUCUUUCGCUUCUGCUGCAUUGUCCUUCUCUUCUGCAAAGCUGCAAACAUCGUCCCUCCUCCUCUCAUGACCACCGCCCACCGCAUCUAGGACUCCAGGUCAGCCCCUUCCUCGUCGUCCUCUGCUCCUCUCUUCUUCCCCAUUCAAUUGCACCAAAAUCCCAGAUUUCAGUUACUGAAAUCCGAUAAAAAAAAAAAAAAAAACUAGUCGGCGCUCCGCCCAGCCCCGCCUAGGCGGCCACAAAACGGCCGGCCGACUACACCAGGCGAUUUGCCUGAAAUCGGGGCGGCUUACGGGCUCCGGGCGCCCAGGCGGCGCCUAGGCCGUUUUUUAGAACAUUGUAUCCGCUACCAAUGUCGGUUUAGGGUUUAGGGGUUAGGGUUUGUGUGCAAGAUAAAGUAAGCAUAAGCACAGUCAAAACCAGAAAUUAUAACCCUUGACUUCGAUAGAAGAGUACACUUGUCUCUCUAUUUGUGUAGUAGGCGUGAUUUUUGAAAUUUCUUUUUUCCAAAAUCUUCCUUCACGCGUUUGAAAUUUGAAAUUUGGACUUGGAUAGGCGGGCAUUUAGUGGCUAAAAAUUUGAGUUUUCAUUUUCCCUUUCAUUUUCAUUUAGCGGGACUUUCCAUAUUCAUCUCGAAUUUUGUAUUGAAACUGAAAGGGUUUUAGACGCCACACAUAACCCUAACCCUAAACAAGCAGUAUAAACCGCCCCGAUGUAAAAUUCUCUGCAACUCAUGUUCUCUUCUCUCUAAACUCCAAAUUGUGAACGAACGUUUCAGAAGCCAUGGCCCGGCAAAAGCUGACCACUCACAUGACCGGUAUUCCUCGUUACCCUCAUGGUGCUUCACCUCCGGUGAUUGAAAUUAGCCAUAGCUCCCCCUCUCAUGGUGCUUCACCUUCAAGGUCUUCAUCUUUAGAUGCAGUUCGAUGCAUUACACCCGUUCUUGCGGUAUAUACUGGUUGCUCUAUUUUGUUCAUUUGUUUAUUGCUUUCUUAAUUUGUUGCUAAAUUGGAUUGUCAAUUGAUUAUGAAAUUAUGUAUGCAAGGACUCGUCAUCUUCCUCGCCUUCUCGUUCGUGUUCUGAGAGAGGCACAUCAUCUAAGAGGGCUAGGCUCUCCCCCACACCAUCCCAUAAAGGCAAUGGCAAAGCUAUUCAGAUAUGUAUAAGUCUGGAAAUCUGUUUAUCUGUCCUGAAAUGGUUUCUGAAUAUAUGUCAAGACCCACCUCAAAUUUUACCCUAAAACCUGGAGUAAACCUGAAAAAUUCGGCAUAACCUCCAUUGUAAUUGGACAGCCAUAUAACAACACAUCCAACCUCAACACCUGGAGCGACCCGCUCCCCCACAACACAUCCACCACACACAAAAAAUAAUAUCAUCUUCAAACCCAACACAUAAAUAUCCAAUUUAUAUCAUACACCAUCAUUUGGAUUGACACGACCCACCCCGAAUUUCACCCUGAAACCUGGAGUAAGUCGAGCGGGGACCACCUCCAAGGAAAAUUUACUGAAAGGAUUGAUAAAAUCUCCCUUGAAAAUGGACAACCCUAACUCGAAAAUUCCAAAAUACACUUUUAAUACAACACGUCCAAACAUCACAUAAUUAACCUUCAGAAAUUCUAAACAUAAAUUACAAUAAUCCCAAAGUAUUCAGAGCUACUAGACACUAGCGGAAGCAAGAAAACACGAGUAGGUUAAACAUGUAACCUACUGAUGAAAACUGGCGGAAAUGCGGGUGACUAUGCCUCGCCUCCUACUAGAUCCAACCCGAACUCUGCAGACUGGGCAAUUUAAAACGAAGAGCCCAGGGGAAAACAUGUGGAACAGUUAGAGUGAGUGGACAAAACUAAAUUAAAAUAAAAGUAUUUCUUUAUGCUUCCCCAAUUUAAUUUCCAAAUAAAAUAAUGCUGCAUGCAAUCGCUCAAAAGCGCUCAACUCAAAAACUGGUAACUUCACGACCAGCACCGGCUAGUCUCCAAAACUUAAUAAAAUACAACCUCUCAGGCUAAAUUAUAUAUAAACAUAUAUAAGUGUAUGUAUUUACACUCGUCAGACUCCUUGUAUGAAUUCUAAGAACAAAUUCGAAAAAUAGAAAUUCAUACAAGGCUACUACGCUUGCGUCUAACGCUCACGUCACACCAUAAUGGAAUUGUACCUCAGUAUGGCGGAAAAAGCAUGAGUGUAUAUACGUGUGGACUCCCUAUAUGAAAACCUAAAUAAACCAAAUAAGAAAAUAGUUUUCAUAUAGGGCUACUACGCUUGUGUCUAACACUCACGUCACAACAUAAUAGUAUUUUACCUCAUUAUGGCGGAUCAAACACGUAUGGCUAGCUAGCAUUUAUAUAUACAGACUAUCAUCAUAAACAUCCAAUAAACAUAUCCACCGAAAAUCUCAUUUUCGAGAUCUCUCCAAAGGAGGAAAAUUGCCAAAUAUCCGAGAAACAAAUAAAUCUCAGGAAAAGAAAUAAAUGAUCAACAGAUAAUUCAUCGCAUGCUUUUCAAUUAAAAUAAAGGUCCACUCACAAAUUAGGCCUAAGCCUGAUGACGCUCCGAGGCUUCCUCUGCUCGGGCCUCCUCUCGUCCUGUUCCAAAUAUAUAAUUAAUUUCCCACCAAAAAUCUAAUAAUUAAACAAAAUGGGCAAAAUUAAACGUGAGCCUCCCAUACACUCAUCAUUACCCAAAUUCGCCAUUCUUAACUCAAUACGGCUCAAACUUUGCCGAACAUACCGGCAGCCGUAAAAACAGCUUCCCACAGAAUACGACUUAAAUCCUACGGCCGGAUUCUACAUUAAUUAACCGUCAAAAAAUACCAAACUUCGGAAAUUCACAAACCUAUCCAAAACUCAUCCAAAAAUUCCAUAACUCACUUCAAUAAACUCCCCUUAAUAUUCCAAAUCUAAAAACAUUAAAAUCUCCCAAACAGCUCCGGCGCCAGCGCCGGCUCCGCCGGCAGCGGCGGCCGGAGGCCGAUUCCGGUGACCUCCAAUUUCUACCAAAUUUUAACAGAAUAAUCCUCUUAUCAAGCACAAGAACUUUCCUAACUAGCACUUAGUCCAAUUCUAAGGCUAACUAGGGUAAUCGACUAAAAACAUCCAAAAAUCCCUAGAACUUCAAUUAUACAUUUCUCCAUAACCACAACGAGAUAGACUUAUUCCUUUUGGGGGGAUACUCACCUUGGUGAGAGCUACAAAAUGAGCUAAAUAUUGCGAGUUUUGGUGGCCAAAAAUGGGAUUUCUGGCGAAAUGCUUCCCGGCGUCUCCAGCGGGUUUUCUCCUCUUCUGACGGGUUAGAGGCUCGGGGGCUAGGCCGGGGAGGGAGAGGAGGAGAUGGGGGUCCGAACAGGGCUGGAGCAGCGGCCGGACGGCGGCAGCUGGUGGCUGGGAGCUUCCGGCGGAGAGGGGCUCUAGGAGCUCAGGGAAAGAGGGAAGGGAGAAAGAGAGAGAGUGAAGGAGGAUAUGGGCUGCUCACACCCGGUCCAUAACCCUUAAACCCAACAAAUUUUACCCACUAAAAAAAAAUACCUUUUUUUACCACCUCAAAAUUUACUCUUUUAGAUAAUAACUUUUUCAUGCUAACUCUGAUUUUAACACAUAGCAUGUCUACGAACUCGUAUUAACGUCUUCUACAACUUUCAUGAAGAAAGUUUCUCCAAAUUCUAAACGAAAAAUAAAGUCAACUUUAGGGUCCUUAGGUAGUAAACGGUUAUUCAACACGGUAAAAGACUAAAAUAAUACCAAAGUAAAUAACCGUAAAAUAACUUAAGAACCGGGGUGUGACAUGGAUAACUCUCAAAUUAAUAAACAAAGACUUAGCACACAACCGAACUAUUAUACAAAUAAUCCCAAGGUAAUCAGAGCUACUAAACACUAGCGAAAACAAGAAAAUAUGGUAGUAGGUUAACAGGUAACCUACUGAUGAAAGGUGGAAGAGAUGCAUGUCGGUGACUAUGCCUCGCCUCUGACUAGUGCCAACCCGAACUCUGCAGAUUGGGCAUUUUAAAACGAAGUGCCCAGGGGAAACAUUUGAAACCGUUAGAGUGAGUGGACAAAAAUAAAUUAACUACUUUUUGAAGUACCACUACUUUUUGAAAACAAUCUACCAUAGCUCUAUAUGCUUCCAAAAAGUUCAUUCCCAAGAUCACAUCAAACUCCACUAUACCUAAAGGAAUUAAAUCGGCCUUGAAAUUAACUCCUUCUACUAAAACUUCACAACCACUAAACACCCAAUUUAUCCUCAUCACCUCACCGGAGGGUAGAGACACAUGCCACUCACCUGGAAGAGACGAUGAUGGCACAUUGGCAUAGAGGGCAAAUCUACUAGACAUAAAUGAAUGCGUGGCUCCGGGAUCAAUUAAAGUAAAAGCAGGCUGGCCAAAAAUUAAUAACGUACCAAUGAUGACAUCUAGAGAAGUACGACCUUCCUGCUGGGUCAUAGCAUGCAAUCUAGCGCGAGUCAUGGGACGUCCACGCUGACCACCACCCUGCAGAGAGCUACCACUGGCCGAUGCACUGCCCUGGGCACCACUAAUGGAGCCUCUAGAUGAAGACUGACCAACUGGCUGAGUAGGGAUAGGGGUGGUCCUCUGAGCCAACAAUGGACAAUCUCUCCUGAAGUGGUCUUGACCACCACACUCAAAACAUCCAGAAAAUUGCUAUUGCCCAAAAGAAAACGUCUGACUACUGGAGGACCCACCAUGGAAGCUGCCACUAGAACCAUACUGACCAGACUGCUGCCUACCCAAAUGACUCCGAGAAGAUCUCCUGAAACGUCCUUUAUUCCUGUUUCGAGCACCAGAACUCGAUCCCCCACUACCGUCACUACCAGCAGAAGACCCAAAAGCGGAUGAUGAAGCAACCUUCUUGGAUGGACCUUGACUGGGGCCACUGUAAUCACAGGGCCGAGUACCAUGUGUCCUCAUGUUCUCAAUGGCCAUGGCUGCACUAACCGCAUCCAUAAAGGUCAAGUAAAUUACACCCGUCAUCUUAUCUACAGACACACCACCAACUGCCCCAACGAACAUCUCAAUCCUAGUCCUCUCAUCCGGAACCAGGUAUUGCACAUGAUAGGUCAGGGAAGUGAAUCUCUGCUCAAACUCUAUGACCCCCUCAUUAUCCCUCUUCUGAAUGUUCAGGAAAUCUGACUGUAUCCUACUGCGGUGGCCAUGUUUGAAAUACUGCCCUAAGAAGAGCGUCUUAAACUGCUCCUAUGUCAUAUUCUGAGCAUCCUCAACAUUCCUGCUGGCAAGCGACCACCAGUGAUGGGCUGAAUCAUCCAGAAAAGUCAUUGCCAUAUUCACUUUCUUAUCUUCUGGCAACCCAGUGCUGUCAAAAGCCUUCUCCAUCUUGUCUACCCAAUUAUAAGCAUCAAGGGUCCCUUGGCACCCUUGAACUCCCUUGCUCCACCUUCAUAAACAUCCUUUUUCUUCACAGUCCAAGGGUUCUGAGUCCGCUCUAGCACUCCCCUCAACAUAUCUCCAAUAGAAUUUACUAGCUCCCUGACCUCAUUGCCCUCAUUGGCGUUGGUCGAACUACCCUCACGGGGUUGGCGUUGGCAUCUAGGAGGCAUAGUACCUGAGGAAGAAGAUAUUUAGUAGUCUAUAAACAAGACUAACACAACUAUCACACAUACCCAAUAACAAAUAGCAUCCAAAGCAUAAACUGCCAAUGAAUCUGCCGCGGUCGGAUCAUCACUCUAUAGACACUACGUGCUACUUAGGUAAAUAUGAUAGUGACAAGGAGGUAGGAAAUGAAACCUAAAGCUCUGAUACCAACUAUCAAGACCCACCCCAAAUUUUAUCCUAAAACCUGGAGUAAGUCCUGCGGGACCACCUCCAAGGAAAAUUUACCGAAAAAUUUGGUAUAACCUCUCUUGAAAAUGGACAACCUUAUCCUGAAAAAAAUUCAGAUAACACUCCUAUACCAACACAUCUAACCUCAACACCUGGAGCCACCUGCUCCCCACAACACAUCCACCACACACAAAAAAAAUAUCAUCUUCUAAUCCAACACAUAAAUAUCCAAUUUACAUCAUACACCAUCCUUUGGAUAACUCCCAAAUUAAUAAACAAAGACUUAGCACACAAUCGAACUAUUAUACAAAUAAUCUCAAGGUAAUCAGAGCUACUAAACACUAGCGGAAACAAGAAAAUAUGGUAAUAGGUUAACAAGUAACCUAGUGAUGAAAGGUGGAAGAGAUGUGGGUGAUUAUGCCUCGCCUCUGACUAAUGCCAACCUGAACUCUGCAGACUGGGCAUUUUAAAACGAAGGGCCCAGGGGAAAACAUUUGAAACCGUUAGAGUGAGUGGACAAAAAUAAAUUAAUAAAUAAAAUAUUUAUGCAUUCCCAUUUGAAUUUCCAAAGAAAUUAUGUUGCAUGCGAAAAUUCUAAAGUGCUCAACCCAUACCCUGGCAAUUUCAUGACUAGCUCUGGCUAGUCUCCAAACUCAAUAAACUGGAGCCUCUUAGGCUAAAGUAUAUAUAAACAUAUAUGUGUAUGUAUUUACACUCAUCAGACUCCUUGUAUGAAUUUUAUGAACAAAUUUGAAAAGUAGAAAUUCAUACCAGGCUACGACGCUUGCGUCUAACACCCACGUCGCUCCCUAAUGGAAUUUUUCCUCAUUAUGACCGAAGAGGACGUUUGUAUAUAUACGUGUGGACUCCCUAUAUGAAAACCUAUAUAAACCAGAAAAGAAAGUAGUUUUCAUAUAGGGCUAUGACGCUUAUGUCUAACACUGACGUCACGCCAUAAUGGUAUUUUACCUCAUUAUGAUGGACCAAGCACGUAUGACUAGCUACCAUUUAUAUACAUACUAUACUCAUAAACAUCCAAAAUACAUAUCCAUCGAAAAUCUCAUUUUAGGGAACUUUCCAAAGGAGGAAAAUUGUCAAAUAUUCGAGAAAGAAAUAAAUCUCAUCAGAAGAAAUAAAUGAUCAACAGAAUAAUUCAUCGCAUGCUUUUCAAUUAAAACCAAGGUCCACUCACAAAUUAGGCCUAAGCCUAAUGUCGCUCCGAGGCUUUUUCUGCUCAGGCCUUCUCUCGUCCUGUUCCAAAUGUAAUAUUAAUUUCCCAACCAAAAAAUCAAAAAACUUACACAAAAUAGGCAAAAUUAACCGAGAGCCAUAAACACGCUCAUCAAUGCCUAACUUCGAUACGGUCCACACCUCAACACUUAAACCAGCAGCCUUAACUACACCCUUCCACAGAUUUUACGACUUAAAUCCAACGGCCGGAUUCUACCGUAUUAAUCCACCACAAUUACUAAACUUUAAAAAUUCCCACAUCUAUCGAAAACUCCUCCAAAAAUUCUAAAAUUCACAUCAAUAACUCCUAUUAAUAUAACCAAUCAAAAACCAUGAAAAUCCCCUAAAUAGCGGUGGCCGGAGGCCAACUCUGGCGACCUCCAAAGCCUACCAAAUUUUAAUAGCAACUUCCUUUCAACUCCCUCUACAACUUUCUUAACCAGCACAACACCCAAUUCUAAGCCUAACCAUGCCAAUCGAACGAAAACAUCCUAGAAAACGCUAGAGCUUCAACACCAUUACCUCCUUACCUAGCUCAAGAGAGAGUGAGACCUUUGGAGGGGUUGCUGCACGGGAGGAGGGCUUUCUUUUGAGCCAAGCAGCUCCGGCUUUGGUGGCCGGAGAAGAGAGUUCCAGCGACGGAACCACCACGGCAGUCGGACCUUUCGGGGGAGAGAACUCCUUCACGGCGGAGCUAGGGCGGCUCUCACCGGCCUAGAAUGGAAGUUGGGUCGGAGGCCGACUGUUUGGAACCGGAGCGGCGGCCUACGGUGGCCGGAUUGCGGCGAACUGAGGGGGGGAAAAUCCGGCAGAGAAGAGGACUCGGGGGAGGGAAAUCGGGAGAGAAGAGAGAGAAGUGAGGGGAGUGAUGUGGGCUUUUCCAACCGGUCCAACACCUUAUGCAAAACCAACUCCAUAAAUUUACACCCCAAAAUAAUACCCUAAUAAAAAUUACUUUUUACUAGCCAAAAUUUACCAUUUUUACCGUCGACACAUUUUUCUCCUACGAAUAAUUCUCCGAAAUAAUCGUCCCCCAAAACCCCGCUAGGGACCAUUUAAACUAUAAACUCAUUUAAACUAUAAGCUAGUAAAUAAGGUAAAGAUUUAAGGGUCGAGAUGUGACAAUAUAUUUCUCAAUUGAUUUAUGAAUUUAUGUAUGCAAGGACUCGUCAUCUUCCUCGCCUUCUCGUAAAAAACUAUCAGAAUCGCUUGAUUCAUUCGUACGGCGGACUCAUGAAGGGAUACCUAGAUAUGUACACCGCCCUCUUAGCCCCCCACCCUCACGCCCCAUGACAAUGAUGGACGCCGUUGCUGCCCUUGAAGAUGUCCUAGCUCAGAUUUACAUGUUAACUUCAUCUGUCAAUGCAAUUAAGUGUAAUAUUGAAGACCGAAUCAACAAGGCAGCCCGAAAGUAAUCUAGGGAGAGGAGAGGAGUCAGCGUGAUCCUUGAUUUAGUGUUGAUCAGUUUGUAACAAUUUAUGUUUUGGUUAUGUUUCUUCAACAUCGGUUAUGUUUCGGCCACAAUUUCUGGAAAUCAUCAUGUGGUGGUGAUUAAUUAAUAUUCUAUCAGUCAGUCCUUUAUCGAUUGUGAUUUUGAAGGAAUUAGGGUUGAAUUUCAAUUCAGUUUCUGUUUAUGACUAGUCGUUUCGUGCAACGAUAUGUCAAGUUUGAAGAACCUACCUGUCACACCCCAAUUUUUGAAAGAUAAUUUUUCAAAAAUUUGGGCAUGAUAUACCUUAAAAUAUUAAAUCCCAAAACCUGUUUUCAAACUAACUUCAAAGAACUAAAACUCAAUGCGGAAAUGUAAAUGUCACACAACUCAACACCGAGUUAAAUAUUAUAUUUCCUUGUUUACAUAAACUUAAAAAUCAAGAAAAUGAAACCACUCACAUGAGUUUUAAUAAAGUCUACCCCAAAUAUAAAAACAAAUACAAUGUACAGCAAAACCCAACAAAAACCCUGCCACUAAGUCUCCGCUUCAACCCUGCUGAUCCUCACCUGCAAGUCUAACCCCUACACCAAGAAAUGGUGUAUCGGGUUGUAAACAACAAACUCGGUAAGCUAAAAAGCCCGUAUGAGUAAUUCUCAAAAUAACACCAAAACUUCCAAUUACCAAUUAUAACACAAGAGCAAUUUAUAUCAAUAAUUAAAAACCACAAAUCCAACAUUUUUCAAUUAACAUGUACCCAUGAGUCUCAGGUAUUAAUAAAUACCCCUCAUGACCUACAACAACGAAAUGUGUACCCAUGGGUCCCAGAUACCCUACCGUAUCUCCCAUGACCUACACUGACAGACGGACUAGAGCUCUAUUCCUAACCGCAACCAAUCACGCGGUCAAAGGCUUGGAACCCGGUUUGACAGUCUAAUAUCAAACACAAAAAUGAUAAAUAGCAUCUUAACAGCAACCAAUCACCCAAUUAUAGGCUUGGAACCCGGUUUGGCUAUUUAUCCAACAAUCACAAUAUCACAACAUUAUCCUCAACAACACAAUAUCCCAUCAUAAAUUAUAUCCUUCCACAUAGAUAUAUUUACAUGAACAAAAUAUAGAUAUUCCACAAGAAUAAUCUAUCAAUAAUCAAUAAAAUUAUGAUCACAUGAAUCUCAAAAAUUGCAUAUAAGGAAAACUUGUUUUAUCUUACCUAUGAGCCGUUGGCGAUCAAGCUCAUAUAUUUUAAAAAAGCAAUUAGAAAAACAUAUUAUUAAAUCCAACAUCAUCAUCAUUAUCAUCAUUACAUGACCAUAAUAACAUUUGGUUCAAAAGUGAACCUUAGUGAGAUUUACUCACCUAAAUAUCCCGCUGCAAAUUCCACAAGCCGACAUUAGCAAGCCCGAACACAACAUCACAAUUCAUCUAAAAUAACACAAUUAAAACCUUAGUAACUAAAAUACUAUAGGUUAACACAAUACCCUUAAACUAACCCUUAGUUCAAGGGAGGACAACUUUCCAAAGUCGUCAAACUUAGCAACCCAAAAUGGCUGCCUCUAAUCCUCAAACCCUAUCUCAACCUCAACCAAGCCUAAUAACAAACUUAAAGUCCUAACAUACAAACCUUGCUCACAACCUUGAAAUUCUACAUCUUCACAAGCUCACCACAAUCAGAGCUAGCUAAAACACAGCAAUCAAAGUCAAAACCACUGCCGGACGUGCUGCCAUGCGCCACCACAAGUGGCGGCGAGUGGUCUCCACGCGCCACCACAAACUUCCGAAUUUGAGAAAACUCUCAACAGCAAAGUUGAAGCUUGAAGAAAGGAGAACAACUUUCAUACCUGAGGCUUCAACCAAUUUUGGCCGGAACCGGCCAGAAACUGCCUCGAAACAGCUACCCGAAUUCAACUACAAAACCUGCAAAUCCGGCCUCAAAACCUCAAAAACUUGUUUCAAUCUAUGCCUAGCCACUACCAGGAGGAGGAGAGGAUCAAAACUCACCUAAGGAUGCCCCUCGUCGCCGCCAGAAACGGUAAAUCCGAUCAAAGACACAGCAGUCCUCUUUCCGGCAACAGAGCUCCGAUUCCAGCGUGCCACACCGAGCAGCAGGUGCCCAGCCUUGAAGAGAUCAAUUGUGGGAGUCGAACGGGACCGGGUGGCGUCCGGUUUGGUGGCCGGAGGAGCGAGAACUCGGCCGGAGAAGAGAGGGAGUUCAGGGGAGCUCGGGAGAGGAAGAGAGAGAAGAGAGUGAGGAGAGUGAGGUGAUUUUAGGGUUCCAAAAUAACUCCCACACACAUUUUUCUACUUAUACACUUUCCAAACCCGAAAACUAACUUCCUCUGACCAUAACUUUCUCAUACGACAUCCGUUUAAGGCGUGCCUCAUGUCUACGAACUCAUAUCGACAAACUCUACAACUUUCAUGAAGGAAGUUUUUGAAGAUAACUUACGGAAAAUAAGUCAACUUUUGGCCUUUUAAAAGUCAAGACACCUUAAAAUAAACUCCCGAAACUUCAACUUCGUAAAAACCAAAGAAUUUCCAUAAACAAUCCUUCAUUAAUUAAGGGAAUAAUACAAGGAAAAAUGAUAUGAAAAACUAGGGUAUUACCCUACCAACAUCUCAUUUCAUAGGUAAAACUGUUUUUAUAUGUCAAGGCUGCUAAUAUCAUAUGAAACGUUCAGCAAAAAAAGUAGACCAUCUUGACUUCACUAACUCGGUAAAUAUACUUGUUUACUUAUCAGAGGGUACCUUUUUAUGAACGGGAGUGUACUAAUUUGCAAUUCAAUAUUCAUGAAAAAAGUAGACCUAUUAGAUAGUGUUGUUUGGAAUUUUCGAUUCAAGAGUAAAAUUUUUUCAAGAAAGAGUAUUCAAUCCUCAUGCCACCACUCUGACCCAUAGUUAUGCAUGUGUUUGAUUGUAAAAUCCCACAAUCAGUUCCACCCUCCUGUUCUGGGGACUGAGCUGGCUAAAAUCAUGUCAAGUAUGCUAAAAUCAUGUGAAACGUUGAGCAACAAAAUUAGGCCAUCUUGCUUCACUGACUCGCUAAAUAGACUUGUUUACUGAUGAGAGGGUAAAUUCUUCCCAAAUUCUUAUGAACAAUAGUGUAGUAAUUUGCAAUUCAACGUUCAUGAAAAAAUUAGACCUAUUGUUAGACAGUGUUGUUGGGAAUUUCCGAUUGAAGAGUAAAUUUUUGUCAAGAAAGAGUAUAGAAUCCCUUGUAUUUUGUCAGAUAGUACCUUCAAACGAGGUGGUUUCUCAUUAAAUCAGUACACUAAGGCCGAGGAAAACCUCUUUCACAUUCCAUUGUAUCUACAGUCUUUUCGUUUCUUAAAAAAUAUUCCCAAAAAAAAACAAUACACUCCUUUCAACAUCUUGAAGAGGCCACUCCUCUAAUCAAGACGUGACUCUUUGGUACCUUAACCUUUAGUUUCAUUCCUCUAUAAAUACAAUGCUUCAAACAAUGAUUCCCACAUAUCUAACUUCUCUUCAUAAGUGUGCAGGGUAUCAUGGUUCGAAGAAACGAAAGAACUCAUGGUAGAAACUACAGUCCAUGGGAAACUCAUCAGCUCAAGUACCGUUUUGCUCUCCAAGAAAAGAAGAUUGCAGAACUUACACAACAUGUUUUUCAGAUCAACAUGCAACUUAUCGAAAUCCACAUAGCCUUGGGAUAUCUCACUAAAUCCAUUAUGGAGUUGGAGGCCAUAAGGGAUGCACCUCCCCCCGUAUUUAACAGACGUGGCUGUGUGCGCAUCAACGUGGCUUGGAGAGAUCCAGAAUCAAGCAUUCACCAGCGAAUGUAGACAUUUGUGGGAGUAUUGCUUAUGUGUUAUCUAGUACUUUUUUUUGUUGGUAUGUAAGUGCAUAAGCACAAGGAAAAAUUAAUGCUGGAUGCGUUCUCUUAUCUUAUCAAAUUGUAGUAUCUUUUCGUUAUUAAUGUCGGUCUGGGGUUUGAAUGCAUACUCUACUUUGUUAUAAUACUUCAGGAAAUCUACUUCUACAUAAAACUAAUAGACCUUGGCAUAAAACUAGUAGACUUGGCAUUUCAACAAAGUAAAUGUUUUCCGAAACAGGAUUUGGCAAUCGAUCAUGGGAUCGAUCAUAUACAAGUUAUAGUACUACCAGUAAUACCAAGAUCCUCAAAGGAACACACAAGCUCUACAAAUGGGAACGUACAGACUUAAGAGUACUAAUCUACAUUUAACAUCCUAAAUCUGACUUACAUUCAUAAACCAUCAUCACAUCAGUCCUUCUUAGGUGGGCCUCAAUUUCUUCGCCGGGGAUGCCUGGGGAGGCACUUCCGCAUACUGUGUUUAAGAAAUUAGAGAGGUCAUUAGAUUCAGGAUUUUGUCCAUCUUACUUGUGACUUCAUGCGCCGUUUGAUAUUUCACAAACGGAGAAGGAUCAACCUCGGCAACAUUGGGUGAGGCGUCAAUAGGGGCAGGCGUUUCAAUUAACUCAUAUUUAGCUUGAAGAUUUCACUUGAUCGUUUCUAGUAAAAAUGCUUCUCUCCGUCACAUAGCCAUUUCUCGCUCCUCUUGGAUGUUUUUUCGAUUUAUGGCCCUUUUCUAUGGCAUGUUUGAUCCAAAUGAUUGAUCGAGAGAUGGAUUAUCGUGAUUGCAGCAACAUGCAAGUAUUGAUCUUUCUGAGCAAGUAGGAUUGAGAGGUGGAAUUCGUGGAUUAAGGGAAGGGAUGGAUUUUUUUGGUCAGAGGCGGCGAAGAAUGGAACCCGACUUCCAUUAAUGGUUUUGGAGAUUCCAACAAGGCAACAGGAAACUAGGGGGUGGGCGGACUAGGCUCUAUGUGAAAUGAUGGGCAGGCCCAUCAAUGUCAAGAACAUGCAAAAGGAAAACUCUAUCAGCCCAUAACAUCUUCAACCCACUUUGUGUUGCAGAUGAUGUUGGAAUCCCAAAUUUAACCUCUAAUUCCCGUACUUAUGAUAAUCCACCUCUCCUUCCCAGAUUGACGAUAGUUUGACGAUCUGUUUUGUCCUCGCAAUCCUUAUUUGGCUUGUACCCCCAAAUUGAAACCCCUAACGCUCGUAUACCCAUACCCUAAAUCACAGUAAUCUACCUCUCAAUCAAUAAUUCCGAUCGAAGAUGCCACUGAAAACGGCGAAGAAGGGAAGAAGUAUCGAAAAGGAGCGAUAUAUGGUUUUGAGACGGUGGAAAGCACUCCUUCUAAAGGUGGUCAAGCGUCGUAAAGUUGAUGUUGGCUCGGUUGCUCCUCGUUCCUCUUUGAAAGAUCCAAAGGACCUUGAGGUCACAGGCAAGCUAGACAAAAUUCGAAGUUUACUGAGCUGUCUAAGUUCUCAAAUAUAGAAUGCGGAACACCCUCCCCAUGCAUCUCCAGCGAAAAAAUUGAGGCCCCGAGAUGGCUCACAAAGUCAGGUAUGAAAUUGUGGAUUUGCAGCAGUUUGUGAGUUGAUCCAUUGUGACUCUUAUAUCAAUGUUUACGGUCUCGUCCUUUUUUGCAUGGAUUACAUUGGAAUUUAGUUGUGGGAAAGUUCGAUUAAAGUAGUUUGUGAGCUGCCAACAUUGUGUUUCUGGUAAGAACCUAUACAUGGAAGAGACACUCCGCCAAAAAAAGGCCCAAAUAUUCCGACAAGGCGCAGAUUGGCCCCUUCAGAGUCAAUGCCGAUAGAGGAGAGACUAACAAGAGACUUGUACUCUUUGUGUACGACACAGAGACGGACUUGCAGCUAAGCGAAACCAUCGUUGAUAGUGCUAGUGGCGGCAUCUUUACCACUAUAGAUUCUGUGAGGACACUCCGACCUGAUGGAUUCAUCAAUGACGACAUUAUAACAUUGUUUGCUGACUAUCUAUGGCAAGAACGUAGAGGAGGCGAUAGCGUUUACUUUACAACCUACUUCUGUCGGAAGACGAUGUAGUAUAGUAUACAGUUAUCUUCAGGACAUGUUGUCAACGGUGUAAGUUCGAAGGAGUUGGGUGUGAGAAGAUUUGACAAUGAUAUUCCUACAUGCAAAAAGGUAUGUCACUGGUUGGCUUCGCUUGUCAGUGAGAUGAUCAAACAUAAACUACAUGUUCACGUUUAAUUAAUCUUACAGAUUUUCAUACCCAUGCACGACCUAAAACAUUGGUACCUGUUGGUGGUGCGUCCUGAUGUCCAAAUAGCUGAAGUGUGGGAUAGCUUGGGAUGUAGCAGGAGACAGAAGAAUCAGUGCAAAACCAUUGUGAGUGAUCACGUUUAUUUCUAAACAAAACAAAAUAACUAUUAUAUUGGUGUACAUGUUUCACUUCCUCAUGAAUAAGUGGAGUUCAUAUGAAACUGCACAAAAGUAAGAAAAAAUAUCCAAGCAAUAAACUAGCCGGCACAACCCACUGCUGAACUUAGAUUACACUUUCUUAUGCCAACAACAAUAAUAACUCAGUCUCAUCUAAAUAGAGUAGUUACAUCCAUAGAGCACUGGCUUGGUGAAAAUCAUCAAUAUCUAGAGAGAAUUCAGGGUCUGAAGGCCACCACCAAUAGCCUGUUGGAGGGGAAUUGGAAUUCCCGUCUUCAAAGUGAUGCAUUUCAUUUUCCCAGUAGCACAAUCCACAACUGCAUCUCUUUACGUUGUCUAGUCCAACGUUGUACAAGUGUGCGCAAGUGUCGCAUGGUCUUUUAGUAACAUCGGCUAUGUGAGUGCAAAAUCCUUCUACCGCAGCAGAACACUGAUGAGUUUGCACGGUGUUGACUUCCUUCUCCAGAACAACUUCAUGCUCCACAUCUGGUUUGGGGCUUAGUCGGUGUUGGCUUGCUUCUUCAACAUCCACCAUAGCAUUCUUUAGAACAGCUUCAUGCUCCACAACUGAUUCUUUAGAGUUAGACAUCUUUCAACGAAAAGGUUGUGGUUACUGAAGCACUCUUAUAUAGAAACGUACUAGGUGGGAAUUGUGAUUUCAAAUUGGUUCAAAUUGAUAUCAAAUUUUUUCAAGUAACCGCCAUCCACCUCAAAUUUUACGGAUCACCAGCGUGUCUUCUAUCCCAGCCGUCAAUCCUAAACCCUACUUUUCAUCUGUAUCGUACAAGGUUGAGAAACCAUAAACACUGCCCAUUGGCCCAUUAGUCCAUUGGCCCAAACCCGGAACCCUAACUUAAUAGAUCAACGUAGAUGGGAUAUUUCAAGGACGGGACCUUCCUUGAAUUACCUCAAAUGUAAUUCUUGGAGAUCUUCCAACGUAAGCACCUUCUAAGUAAAGAUAUUGUUUCCAAGUGUGACUCUUCAAUCUUAGACGUGCAUAUCACCAUAUCUCAUGUAAUCAUCAUCAGAUGCCACCAGUAAGGAAUGUAAUCCCAGUUAUAUACUUCAAAGCAAUUAGGACCUCUUUUCAUGAUAUCCUUCCUUGAUCAUGUCUUCUUAACUAGCAUGAAACACGUCCAUAUUGCCUUUUCCAUCAAAGAUCUUCCAUGCUGCUCAAUAUCGGUAACCAAACAAUCAUCCAUAAUAGUUUAAGGAAUUUUGAAUCUUUUACAAUUUAAGGGUGAGGUUGAGUCUACGUAGUCAUGAUUUUCCUAUAAAUUGCUCAGGAUUUAGGUAGACCUAUGUCAUCCAACAAGUGGACUUAUUUUACAAUUUUUACAAUUUAUGAGAUUAUAUAUGUAUUUUCCUUAUUUUUUGGAAUUUCCUAAGGUCAUGAUUUUCCUAUAAAUUUCUCAGGAUUUAGGUAGACCUAUGUCAUCCAACAAGUGGACUUAUUUUACAAUUUUUACAAUUUAUGAGAUUAUGUAUGUAUUUUCCUUAUUUUUUGGAAUUUCCUAAGGUCAUGAUUUUCAUAUACAUUGCUCAUGAUUUAGGUAGACCUAUGUCAUCCAACAAGUGGACUGACCAAUUACCCAAGACGUCUGAUCAAACCCCCAGACGUCUUAUCGAGUUGGUCACUGCUUUAUUAUUAACGCUUCAUAAACAGGGUCGACUUUUCGAAUGGGUAUUACCUUGCCUUUUCGGUUGCCUUAUAACUUCCUUUUGAGUGAAAGUUUUCCAUCAAACCGCUAUCACUCAUUGGAAUUCCAGUUUCCAGCAUACCAGAUAGUACCUUUCAAGCCAAACUUGUCAAUGGCAAACACAGCUUCCUCUCUUCCUCUGUUCUUAGCCAAGGUUAACAAAGCAGGGUUCAAUGUAACUGAAUUGGUACGAGUGCUCUUUAUCUUAUACUCCGGCUGCAUUUUUUUUUUUUUACUAAACCAUCUACCAAUCAUAAUCAUUUGUUUGACGUUGCAGGAGAUACCUUGGUCAUUUUUUGACAAAUACAUGGUCGGUGAUGUCGAAAAAAAAGGUGUUAUCCAAAAGACUGGACAGUUUCUGUGAAACGGGAUCAUGAGUGGGUUGAGUUGCGCAGAGGAUGGGGUGUAUUUGUGAACGACGUUAUACAGAACGAUUCUGAGGCCUACCUUGUGGUGGAUUACAUGGGGGACAUGCAAUUCAAGGUUAGGGCAUUUUACUCGGAUGGAAACAUUGUCGUCGACGUUCCCCUUUGCUUGAACCAUGCCUGUGGAUUUUACAGAGGACCCCGGCCUGAAUUCUUUAGGCGCGUCACCCAUGCUUCUGAGCGCCCAAUGGUAACUUUCUUCAACUUUCAUUAUUGCAUUGAAGUUCCAUUGUGGUUUGUCUUGAGAGUGUUCUUAUUAUUUUAUGCAGGUUAUUAUACACAGAUCAAUGCUCACGGACCAUUCCACAAACAACUUCUUGAUGUCGGAAUGGGUCUAUUUGAGUUUCACCUGAAGGCGGCGCCGGCGAUUAAAACGGUCGUGCAGCUUACUCGCACAAACAGAAACUAUAUUGAGUUUAGCACCGGGUGGAACACCUUUUUGGCGUUGUGCGGGAUCCAAAGUGAAGAUUUGGUCGUUUUAGAACUAGUUCCAGAUCGCAAAAUCAGUGUCUUGGCAUUCCUCCCGGAAGACAAGGGGCCCGAGGGGGCCCUUCUAACUCCUCUGCCAACAGUUGAUGCACAUGAAUCUUCGUCGGAAAAUUAUUAAAUUUUCAAAAAAUUUUAAUUGUCUUUAAUUUCGGAAAGUUAUUAUAUAUUUCGUUUAUGAACUAUAAGGACAUGUUAUGUGUUUUGUAAAACUAGCUACAUAUGAUAUUAUGUUUUUCGUUUAAGAACUGGGAACUGUUAGAACCUCUACCUUGUGUUGAUUUUGAUUUCCAGAAUGUAUGAUGAAUGAUAAUGUACACCACGUAAACAAACUAAACAGGUAGGUUAAUCUUCGUAAACAUUGUACACUAUGUUCAAAAAACAGGUAGACCCAUAUAAGCAGACCAGUUUAGAGUUGGUCUACUCGUAGUGUGAGUCAAUGCUUCGAAGAGCUAGUACACCACGUUCACAAAACAAGUAGGUUAGUGUUCGUAAAUAGGUAAAUCAUUUUGUCUCACAAAAAAAGUAGACCCGUGCUCGUAAAUAAGCAGACCAACCUUCAUAAACAGGUAGUCCUGUCAAGAAUUCUUCAAGUGUCUGUGAAUUUUGGACACUUUAGAGUUGGUCUACUCGUAGUGUGAGACUAUCCUUCGUAAACCUAGUACAUCGCGUUCACAAAACAGGUAGGUUAGUGUUCGUAAACAGGUAGACCAUUUUGUCUCACAAAAAAAGUAGACCCGCGCUCUUAAAUAAGCAGACCAGCCUUCGUAAACAGGUAGACAUGUCAAGAAUUCUUUAAGUGUCUGUGAAUUCUGGACACUUUAGAGUUGUUCUACUCGUAGUGUGAGUCAGUACUUCGUAAACCUAGUACAUCACGUUCACAAAACAGGUAGGUUAGUGUUUGUAAACAGGUAGACCAUUUUGUCUCACAAAAAAAGUAGACCCGUGCUCGUAAAUAAGCAGACUAGUCUUCGUAAACAAGUAGACCAUUUUGUCUCACAAAAAAGUAGACCCGUGCUCAUAAAUAAGCAGACCAGUCUUCGUAAACAGGUAGACCUGCUAAGAAUUCUUCAAGUGUCUGUGAAUUCUGGACAUUUUAGAGUUAGUCUACUCGUAGUGUGAGUCAGUACUUUGUAAACCUAGUACACCACGUUCACAAAACAGGUAGGUUAGUGUUCGUAAACAGGUAGACAAUUUUGUCUCACAAAAAAAGUAGACCCACGCUUGUAAAUAAGCAGACCAGCCUUCGUAAACCAGGUAGACCUGCCAAGAAUUCUUCAAGUGUGUGAAUUCUGGACACUUCAGAGUUGGUCUACUCGUAGUUUGAGUCAGUGCUUCGUAAACCUAGUACACCACAUUCACAAAACAAGUAGGGUAGUGUUCGUAAACAGGUAGACCAUUUGUCUCACAAAAAAAGUAGACCCGUGCUCGAAAAUAAGCAGACCAGUCUUCGUAAACAGGUGGACCUAUCAAGAAUUUUUCAAGUGUGUGAAUUUUGGACACUUUAGAGUUGGCCUACUCGUAGUGUGAGAUUGUCCUUCGUAAACCUAGUACAUCGCAUUCACAAAACAAGUAGGUUAGUGUUCGUAAACAAGUAGACCAUUUUGUCUCACAAAAAAAGUAGACCCAGGCUCGUAAAUAAACAGACAGCCUUCGUAAACAGGUAGACCUGUAAAGAAUUCUUCAAGUAUCCGUGAAUUCUGGACACUCUAGAGUUGGUCUACUCGUAGUGUGAGUUAGUGAUUCGCAGCACAAGUACACCACGUUCACAAAACAGGUAGGUUUGGCUACGUAAACAGGUAGACCAUUUUGCUUCACAAAAAAAGUAGACCAUUUCUCGUAAAUAAGCAGACCAGGCUUCGUAAAUAGGUAGACCUCUCAAGAAAGUACACAUAAUAAAGUAGUUAAUAUGUUGUAAUAAAGUACACAUGUCAUGUGAAUAAUGUACACAUAAUAAAGUAGUUAAUACAUAGUAAUAUAGUACACAUCGUAUGUGAGAGGAUGAGGUUUUACAAUAAGGAGACAUAGGUUCUACCAACGGCUACGGCGGACACUUUCUGUUGCGAGGUUUUACAGUUCCGUGCACUUGUGGUUUUCCGUUUGUGUUGCUCUCGGUCGGUUCAAUCUUCACUUGCUUCAGGACUUGUACAUUCUUUUCGCACUCCUCAGUCUCUUAAUUGUUCUGAGGCUCUUCAAUCUUGUUUUCCAGUUUCUUAUUCUGUAAUCUUUUUUUGAUGUUUCUACACAUCAUUUGCCAUCUGCUGUUGUAUCUGUUCCUUAUCAAUUUCAAGGUUAGCUAUUUGCGAACCUCUUUUGAGUUAUACUGCAAUGCAUAAAUUUCAAUGAAGUUAAUGCCCAUGCCACUCAUUACCAUUCAAAUUCUCUAGUACAAAUGAAAAACAUACCUCAGUCCAUCACUCUUCAUCAUACUGCUCCAUGUGUUUGAUUGUAAAGAUCCCGCAGUCAUCAGUACCCUCUUGUUUGGGACAUUGUGGCGGCUUAAAAAUGGGAAAAUCUUCAAAUUUCUUAGUCUUCUUCACAAGAUGGCCGAAAAUAAUGUCAAAGACAUUCAACUGUUACAUCAUGACAGAAUAACCAUGCAACUGAGUAGACAAUGUUGCUGGGAUUAUGAACACAAAAGGCUUCGUGUGACUUACAAUAUCUUUGCAGUGAUCCUUGCGUGAUUUUUUGUCUCAAAGGCUAACCCAGUAUUCUCCUGUCUCGUUAUCUAUACACACAACAAAGACAUACCAAUGAUCUGAGUCAUGGAUUGGUAUGAACAUCUGUUAAAAAAAAAAUUCUUAAUGUCAGACAUCAUACAAAAUCCAAAUAUCACUCAACCCUAUUGAUUAUAAAAACAACUGCAAACUAACCUUUUUGCAAUGAGGAAGGUAUUUACUGUAACUUUUUACCCACAUUUUCUUUGGUGUAGGAACUUUUCCUACCGGUUUUUCAUACGUACAAUAUGAUUUUAGCUUGUUGCUGAAAAAAGUGUGGAAAUAAACAUUGUCGCCAGUGCUACUUGCAAGUAGAUAAGAGGCAAAUAUGGUCACAACCUCAUCGUUAAGCCAUGUGUUCGGUAGGAGAGUCCUUGCCCUCUUACAACUCUGACCAUUGCACUCAACAAGAAUCAAUUCACUGCCAACUCCAUUAUAAACAUAAUCCAGGACUGCUUCGUCAUCCACAUCCAUGAUAACAUCAAUCUUAAACUCCCUAACCUUCUGCUUCUCAACAUAAACAUUCUUGCAGGGGGCCUCCUUCUCAACAUUCUUGCAGGAGUCAGUAAGAUCAAUUAUUUUUUCUUCUUCCCUCUGUUUCUCAACAUUCUGGCAUGAGGCUUCCUUCUCAACAUUCUUGCAGGAGUCAGUAAGAUCAAUUAUUUUUUCUUCAUCCUUCUGUUUCUGAACAUUCACCCAUGAGGCCUCCUUCUCAACAUUCUUGCAGGAGUCAGUAAGAUCAAUUAUUUUUUCUUCAUCCCUCUGUUUCUCAAUAUUCUGGCAUGAGGCUUCUUUCUCAACAUUCUUCCCCAUCUCAUAAGUUUGUGAAACCUUACUCGGUUUAAAGAUAUACCUACAUGGACUGAUCACCGAUGAUUCAGAUGAAAUAUCCACGGGUGUUGAAUUCUUUGCCGGCAGCUCCGGUGACACCUAAAAGGAGGAUCAAUGUAAAUUUUAUGUAAAUUUAGGUGAAUUACUAAGCACACAAUUAUGAGAAGGCAAAUAAUCCACAUAGGAAAGAAACAACAACUCAUACCUACCCAAAUAAUACACAGAAACAUGACACUCCCCUGUAAAAGUAGACUUCAACAACUAUGUUUGUAGACCAAAUAAGUUGUCAACUUGUCAUGUUAGCACACAUUUUCGCUGUUACAAUAGCCAGUUUCUGGACAUAGAAUUCAACCUAUAAUUAUUACAGACAUGCUUAUAAGUUAUAACAUUCAAAAGGAGAUGUUGUGAGUGUCACAUCCCGACCCUUAUAUUUUCACCUUAUUUACUAGCCUGAUUAUAAUAAGAAUUUUACCGUCUCGAUCAUUGAGUAAAUAGUUUAAUUGGUCCCUAGAAGGGUUUCGGAGACGAUUAUGUGCGGAGGAUUAUUAGUAUGAGGAAAAUACGACGACGGUAAAAAUGGUAAAUUUUAGCUAGUAAAAGGUAAUUUUUAUUCGGGUUAUUAUUUUUCGGGUUGUUUUAUUUUUNNNNNNNNNNNNNNNNNNNNNNNNNNNNNNNNNNNNNNNNNNNNNNNNNNNNNNNNNNNNNNNNNNNNNNNNNNNNNNNNNNNNNNNNNNNNNNNNNNNNNNNNNNNNNNNNNNNNNNNNNNNNNNNNNNNNNNNNNNNNNNNNNNNNNNNNNNNNNNNNNNNNNNNNNNNNNNNNNNNNNNNNNNNNNNNNNNNNNNNNNNNNNNNNNNNNNNNNNNNNNNNNNNNNNNNNNNNNNNNNNNNNNNNNNNNNNNNNNNNNNNNNNNNNNNNNNNNNNNNNNNNNNNNNNNNNNNNNNNNNNNNNNNNNNNNNNNNNNNNNNNNNNNNNNNNNNNNNNNNNNNNNNNNNNNNNNNNNNNNNNNNNNNNNNNNNNNNNNNNNNNNNNNNNNNNNNNNNNNNNNNNNNNNNNNNNNNNNNNNNNNNNNNNNNNNNNNNNNNNNNNNNNNNNNNNNNNNNNNNNNNNNNNNNNNNNNNNNNNNNNNNNNNNNNNNNNNNNNNNNNNNNNNNNNNNNNNNNNNNNNNNNNNNNNNNNNNNNNNNNNNNNNNNNNNNNNNNNNNNNNNNNNNNNNNNNNNNNNNNNNNNNNNNNNNNNNNNNNNNNNNNNNNNNNNNNNNNNNNNNNNNNNNNNNNNNNNNNNNNNNNNNNNNNNNNNNNNNNNNNNNNNNNNNNNNNNNNNNNNNNNNNNNNNNNNNNNNNUUGCGGCAUGCAUUUCGAUUUUUUCCUUAGAAAUUAAUGGGGAAACAUAAAUAUUUUAUUUAUUAUUUUAUUUUUGUCCACUCACUCUGACGUUAUUAAAUGUUUUCCCCUGGGCCCUUCGUUUUAAAUUGCCCAGUCUGCAGAGUUCGGGUUGGAUCUAGUAGGAGACGAGGCAUAGUCACCCGCUUUUCGGCCAGUUUUCGCCAGUAGGUUACCUGUUCAACCUACUCGUAUUUUCUUGAUUCCGCUUGUGUUUAGUAGCUCUGAAUACUUUAGAAUUUUUGUAUAUUAUGUGAUGUUCAGAAGUGUAAUAUGAAAUUUUCGAGUUAGGGUUGUCCAUCUACAAGGGAGAUUUUCUUAAUCUUUUCAGUAAAUUUUCCUUGGAGGUGGUCCCCGCACGACUUAUUCUGGGUUUCAGGGUGAAAUUCAGGGUGGGUCGUGUCAAACAAUGUGUCUCUAAUUCUCCACUCUCUCUUCCUCCCUUCCCUUUAUUCACUUGAAGCAACAUCUAUUUAUAGGGCAACAAUGAUCUUCAUUCAAUUUCAACUCCAUGUGAAAAUGAUUCUCCAUUUCUCAAACUUCUCAAGUUUGAUAGCUAAAGUCUCCAUCCAUAAAUGCUUCCAUACAUAGCUUCAUUCUCUCAUUUUUCAUGUGAAUGAAGAGAAGAUACGUACAUAAUCUUUGAACAAUUGAAGAUUUAGUUCCUAGAAUCAUGCUUGCUUGCUUGCUUCUUGCCUCCUUGUUUCAUGGCAUAUGUCCUUGGAAAUUCUUCAUACUCUCUUCUGUUUGUAUCAAUGCAUCUAUAUACCUAUGAAUCAAACAAGCAAAAGUGAAUUCAACAAUGGAUGCCAUGGUAAUAUUUCCACACAUCACACUUAAUGCAUGAGAAAAUAAUCCACCAAUUUAACACAUGCAUAUAUGCAUACAAGCUACUAGAAUAAGAAGAACAUGUGUUGCAAUUAUUCAUCUAAUUAAAGGGAAAAAGACUCAUGUUAAAACAAAGACUCAAUUUACUAUAUGAAAAUAGGUAAAUUGCUACUAUAACUUUAACAUUCUAUUUAUUUAGACAAAACAUCUAUAAGAACACAAAAGCAAACUAAACAACUCAUACUAAUUAAAACAAGUAACUAACACAUAUAAAUCAGGGAUAAUAAUAUGAUAUAAAAUGUGCUCAUCAAUAC
This 33155-nucleotide long non-coding RNA is filed under the name Fragaria vesca (wild strawberry). RNAcentral describes it as "long non-coding RNA (FVES_LNC001489)". The record is from RNAcentral. Lineage: Eukaryota; Viridiplantae; Streptophyta; Magnoliopsida; Rosales; Rosaceae.